This is a non-coding RNA of Ixodes scapularis (black-legged tick), 224 nucleotides long. NCBI's taxonomy places the organism in Eukaryota, Metazoa, Arthropoda, Arachnida, Ixodida, Ixodidae. The record is from Rfam.
UUCUGGGAGGAUUGACAGAUUGAAAGCUCUUUCUUGAUUCGGUGGAUGGUGGUGCAUGUCCGUUCUUAGUUGGUGGAGUGAUUUGUCUGGUUAAUUCUGAUAACAAACGAAACUCUAUCCUAUUAGAUAGUUGCGUGGUUCUCUGCAAAUUGCAAACUUAGAGGGACAAGCAGCUCCUAGCCGCACGAAAAAUGAGCAAAAACAGGUAUGUGAUGUCCUUACAU